This 253-nucleotide ribosomal RNA is filed under the name uncultured bacterium. RNAcentral's name for it is "partial 16S ribosomal RNA". It matches the Rfam family "Bacterial small subunit ribosomal RNA", at positions 524 to 776 of the family's 1533-position model. The record is from RNAcentral.
GACGAACCGUGCGAACGUUGUUCGGAAUCACUGGGCUUAAAGGGCGCGUAGGCGGACUGCCAAGUCCGGGGUGAAAUCCUCCGGCUUAACUGGAGAAUUGCCUGGGAUACUGGCGGUCUUGAGGGAGGUAGGGGCACGCGGAACUUCCGGUGGAGCGGUGAAAUGCGUUGAUAUCGGAAGGAACGCCGGUGGCGAAAGCGGCGUGCUGGCCCUCUUCUGACGCUGAGGCGCGAAAGCCAGGGGAGCGAACGGG